AUCGUAUUUUUGAAGAUGCCCCCAUGUUGGGAUUUGGUUUUUUUUUUUUUUUUUCUUUCAACGUGAUGUCUAACUUAAAAAUCCUUUUAAUGGUUGCCGGACUGCGUCUGGAAUGUAGUAAAAGUCCUUUAUUUACCGACCUAGCAAUUUCUUUUCCAGUUGGUGGAGCAAUCAACCAAAACAUCUGCACAAUGCACUGCAACACGUUCCAGGUGUCUAUCGGCCAAAAAGCCUAUUGAACCGUAACGAAUUCAACUCUCGUAUUUCCUCUUUGUCACGUCCUUUCAAAUGGUCAAUAAGAAAAUCGCUUGUUUUCUGCAAACAAUAAGCAAAAUUGGCUUUAAAAAAUGGCGUUAAACUCCAUCGGGAUGUCAAGGACUGCUAGACUGAACGGUGUCAAACUUGACUCUCUCCUAUAUUUAAUAUGUACAUACGGAAUAUAUAAUUCAGGUCAGAACAGCUUUUUCUAUCUGAUAUUCCGUAAAAGUAACCAGUCUUUCAACCAAAUUCGUUGUGACCCGUUUAUUCACAGGUGCGUGGAUUCGGCAGAAGGACGGCUCUCUCUAUUUAUAUAUAUUUUUCAUAUCUGAUGCCAGAAGUAUAUACAGUACGCAUUUAUAUUUGCAAAAUACAUCUCUCUUUGUCAAAAAUUGUGCAUUAACGUUUUGUACUUAAUGAAGUAAAUUAAGUGUAACGAGUUGCUACCAUCAUUUUGACGUGAUGCUAUCGACUCGUUACGGUUAAUUUUAUCUUAAUUGCACGCAUUCGAAAUUUUUAUUAUUGUAAACAUUAAUUUUACGAUAAGUAUCCCG
Molecule: long non-coding RNA, 812 nt
Filed under: Androctonus crassicauda
Lineage: Eukaryota; Metazoa; Arthropoda; Arachnida; Scorpiones; Buthidae
Source: RNAcentral